CAACUAAGGCCGACUUAACGACAGAAAAUCUGGUCUCAUUUUUAGCCACGUAUGUUAAGUCUAUCCGCAAAUUCGAUAAUCGUUACCCUGAUAGCCUGAAAUUGUUCAAUUCUAGCUAAGCACUUAAUGUUUUUAUUUUUUUAAUAUCAUCUGCGGUAGUAAACUACUUUCCUGGUCCACGCAGACCGAUUAACUGUUCUUUGAAGGGAAUAGGUGACAAAGAGUUUGUCGCUCGACAAAUAUAUGACUUUGACUAUCCAACUACGUAAUAUCUCGCUUGAAGUUGAUUUUCUCAUUGUACCCGAGUUGUAUAUGAAUACGCCGUUCAUAAUAGGGACAGACGUUCUCAAUCGUGAUGGCGUCACGUUUAUUCGCACGAAACGUGAACAGUACCUAACUCACACACCAGAUAGGGUACUAGUAGUGAAUGCUGUGAAUGCUAACCAAUUUGACAGCAUAAAUACGCCUCUCGAAGGUGCAGACUUUGCUAAGUUGAUGGCUGUCAUUAAGGAAUUGUCUCCGUUUUUAAUAUCCGGUACAGCAACUACAGCGGUGACUACGGAGGCUGGUAGUGUACUUAUGUACAUUGACGACGUUCUUAUUGUAAGUAUGUCUAAUGACGACGGUAUUUCUCUAUUACGGAUGUUUUGAAGACUGACAGAAGCUGGAUUCUCUGUCAAUUUGCGAAAGUGUUCUUUCCUCACAACUAAAAUAGAGAACUUAGGUCGUGUUAUCAGUUAUGGUCAGGUUAGGCCGAGUCUGCAUAAAAUUGAAGCGUUGGUUAGUUCACCUACUCUAACUAACUUUAAGCAGGUACAUCAAUUUUAAGGUUUAGCUGGAUACUUCCGGCGUUAAAUUGAAGGGUACGGGACAAAAACCGCAUGUAUAUCGCGUCUCACUAAGAAAGACGUCAAAUUUGAAUGGGAACCCGAACAAGAUCAAGUCAAACAAGAGCUCUUAAAGCAAUUAACCAGCGAGCCUUUACUUGCGAUUUUUGACCCGAGCCUUCCCACUGAACUAAACACCUAGCGCCUAGCAGUGCAGGAUAUGGUGCCGUGCUUAUGCAGGCCCACACGGAUAAUAAUAAAGGAGUGGUAGCCUAUUUUAGUAGGGUUACCCAGGGUUUGGAGCCCAAGUGUCAUUCAUAUGAAUUAGAAACGUUGGCGGUCGUCGAGGCUCUGCAACAUUUUCGGCAUUACCUGGUUGGUAUAAGUUUUAAGAUAAUCACCGAUUGCAAUGCCUUGAAGGCCACCGAACGUAAGAAGGAUCUUCUUCCACGAGUUGCCCGCUGGUGGGUAUAUUUACCAGAUUGUAAUUUUACUUUUGAUCAUAGAAAAGGGGCUUUAAUGCAACAAGCUACGUGUUGAAGUAGGCAACAAAGGUUCCCAGUGGUCCGACGUGCUGUGGAGGAUACCUACAGCUCACUUUGGAGGAACAUCUCCAAGCAAAGUACCAUGCAGACUUCACCACUGCAGUUACUGGUCGGUAUCGAUAUGUGAUCUGUGGAGUUACUGGUCAUCAGAUCGUUAGUGUGAGAUGUGGCAAUUACUAACUCUAAUCCCAAUCGGGAGGCUCUCUUAACUCUUCGCAGGUGGCGAGCUUCCGAACUGCUUGCAACCGGGCGAUGGUGCCGGGAUGCCUGCGUUAGCGGGAGUCGACGGUGGCCGCACGCCUUUGCUGUCGGAGACUUUGUGUUUGUGAGCAAGCCUGCACAAAUCACCGGUGAACUGGACCCCGGCAUGCGUGGGCCUUACAAGGUUAUUCGCGCGCUACCGUGCCACCGCUACGAGUUAGAGCUACUAGCUGGUUCCUGAUAUUGUGGCAAGGCGAGUUGACGCCGGAUGCGUGCACAGUUUCCGUCGCGACUUGACUUUGUGGUGCUAAUGUGUUUAGACCACUUUGAGAACAUACAAGCGUAUGGGUCUCUGUUUUAAACUUUUGUGGUCCUAAUGUGUUUAGACCACUUGGAGAACAUGCAAAGGUAUGGGUCUCUGUUUAAUAUUUUUGUGGUGCUAAUGUGUUUAGGCCACAUAGAGAACAUGCAAAAUGUAUGGGUCUCUGUUUUAACAAAUUGUCACUUAGGAGAGCACUAGGAGCCACUGUAGUUGUGACAGUGUAUUGCAAAUAUACUGAGUUUUAUCUUUAUUCGUGUUAAGUCUGAAGCUAUCUAAUUCUGUAAUAUUUGCUUUUUGAUAUACCUUAUCUAUGUGCGCUUGAGUGCACGCUUGCGCACAUGGUUCUGGUAAUGGAGAAAUAGAGAUAAAUGUCAUUUUUCGUCCCUACAAUUCAAAAUACGCUUCAGGCUAUGACACGAAGCUAGGUAGAUUACUACAAGUUCCCUUACAGAGACUGCGCUAGACAAUUAUGAGCAGGUUGCAAGUGAUGCUGCGGUCGAGGACGCUGCACUGUCAGAAACGGCCAUCUUAGAAAAAAAUCCCAACCAGCAAACCGGACGGAGUAUCAGGUUAUAAAAGAGGAGUGGAACAGCGGAUUGGGGGUAUUCUACGUUUGGCUCAGAUGUGACGGCCGUUUCGGUUGUGUUUAGCGGUUAUUCUCUAUGCGCGCGUGAUAUGUUGCCUUGCGUGCGAGUGUGAGGCAACUGUGUGGCUUGCUGGUUGAAACGGACUGCCAAUGUGGUGCGGUUAUGGUUUGUUCCUGAGGCCAGCAACCUUGAGAAGCGGGCCUCGGCAGAUGUGCAUCCUGUGCGCGUGGCGGGCGCUGUCCCGGAAGAUGUGUUCUUUGAAAACAUAUCAGGCGCAGUCCUGGCAGCCUUAGUGCUGGUGCUCUUUUGAGAGUGUUACGGGCGCUGUCCCGGUUGGUGUGUUCUUUGAACGCACUUCAGGCGCAGUCCUGGCAGCCUUAGUGCUGGUGCUCUUUUGAGAGUGUUACGGGUGCUGUCCCGGGUGGUGUGUUCUUUGAACUCACUUCAGGCGCAGUCCUGGUUUACGUUGCUAACGGGGGAACUUGUACAAGUUCAAGUAUGAGAAUGUGUGAGAUGUUUUGUGAGAUGAUGUAUGCAUACUUUUGAAAGCGAAGUGUUUUAGCUAAAGUUGUGGAAGUGUGCUUUUGUAUCAGGGCCUUGGAUGAGUGAUGAAUGACAGACUAGGCACUAACGUAAUGUCGUCGUGAUUAACUAACAGAAUAAUUGUUGCACAGAUUGCGAUGACGAAUACCCCGAUGACGUUAGUGAGCCUUCAGCUGCGUGUGCUAGUCCUGCUGCUUCCUCAAGAACACUCGAACCAUAUAUGGGUGAACAUGGUGACCAAGAUACCGUCAUGCCUUCCACCAGUUCUUCCAAAGAAGAGAUCAACAGUGCAUCCGAGGACGGUGCACAGUCAGGAGAGGCCGUAUAAGCAGAAAUUGCAGUAGGUAGUUUCGAUACCCAGCCGCCUUUUAUAAAAGAAAGGCCUCAAUGUGCGGGGGGCUCAUUUGUUGCUCGGACGUAAACGAGUAAGGUGGUUGAUAUCGAGGCCGCAUACUGUGAGUUCGUUCUAUGUUAUUUUUAUUCGGUGGUUUCUGUGUAAUAGUUUUAAGGUUAACGGUUGUUUUUAAAAUACCCAAAGUCGUGUUGUUUUGAUUGUAUAAGAUAAAUUUUAAGAUAGAUUUAGUGUGAUUUCGAAUAUACCGUGUUUUGUUCUUUGAUAAAGUUAUUUUUGGUUAAAUCACUUCUUACGUUAUUUCGAA
Molecule: long non-coding RNA, 3684 nt
Organism: Pieris napi
Lineage: Eukaryota; Metazoa; Arthropoda; Insecta; Lepidoptera; Pieridae
Exons: 2
Source: RefSeq, a predicted model, not a curated record